This 408-nucleotide ribosomal RNA is filed under the name uncultured bacterium. Its description in RNAcentral is "partial 16S ribosomal RNA". It matches the Rfam family "Bacterial small subunit ribosomal RNA", at positions 29 to 526 of the family's 1533-position model. The record is from RNAcentral.
AGUGAACGCUGGCGGCGUGCCUAAUACAUGCAAGUCGAACGGAGUGGCGCACGGGUGAGUAAUAUAUAGCUAAUCUGCCCCUUGCUGGAGGACAACAGUUAGAAAUGACUGCUAAUACUCCAUAGCAAGGGAUGUGACUAUAUCGUAUCAGCUAGUCGGUGGGGUAACGGCCUACCGAGGCUAUGACGCGUAACUGGACUGAGAGGAUGAUCAGUCACAUUGGAACGGAGACACGGUCCAAACACCUACGGGAAGCGGCAGAAGGGAAUAUUGCGCAAUGGGGGAAACCCUGACGCGGCAACGGCGCGUAGAGGAUGACACUUUUCGGGGCGGAAACGCCUGUUGUUAGGGAGGCGGUACCUAACGAAUAAGCACCGGCUAACUCCGUGCCAGCAGCCGCGGUAAUUC